This 264-nucleotide long non-coding RNA is filed under the name Lathyrus oleraceus (garden pea). RNAcentral's name for it is "Pisum sativum (pea) long non-coding RNA (PSAT_LNC015239)". The record is from RNAcentral. Lineage: Eukaryota; Viridiplantae; Streptophyta; Magnoliopsida; Fabales; Fabaceae.
AAUUAGGACCUUGACCUUUGCUUUGGACUUGUGAUUUGAGAUCUUAGGAUUCAUCUGAUACCUUUGAAUUUGUACUUUCUCUAGAGACUUGGCAUGGUUAUUUUGGUUUCAUCUAAUACAUGGAUUAUUAUUUAUUUAUUUUGGCUUGCUUGAGGCUUAAUCCAAAGGAGGGAAUUCUUGCUUGACUUAUGUCAUAAAGCUUGUUAUUUCUUGGUUAGAUAUUUCUUCCCUAUCUUUUACUUCAUGCUUUAGGAUAGUCUCUUC